AGAGUUUGAUCAUGGCUCAGAGUGAACGCUGGCGGCGUGCUUAACACAUGCAAGUCGAACGAUGAAGCUUCUAGCUUGCUAGAAGUGGAUUAGUGGCGCACGGGUGAGGAAUAUAUAGCUAAUGUGCCCCUUAGAGGGGGAUAACAGUUGGAAACGACUGCUAAUACCCCAUACUCCUUCUUGUUAUAAGACAAGUCGGGAAAGUUUUUUCGCUAAGGGAUCGGGCUAUACGGUAUCAGCUUGUUGGUGAGGUAAUGGCUCACCAAGGCUAUGACGCCUAUCUGGUCUGAGAGGAUGAUCAGACACACUGGAACUGAGACACGGUCCAGACUCCUACGGGAGGCAGCAGUGGGGAAUAUUGCACAAUGGAGGAAACUCUGAUGCAGCAACGCCGCGUGGAGGAUGACACAUUUCGGUGCGUAAACUCCUUUUAUGUGAGAAGAUAAUGACGGUAUCACAUGAAUAAGCACCGGCUAACUCCGUGCCAGCAGCCGCGGUAAUACGGAGGGUGCAAGCGUUACUCGGAAUCACUGGGCGUAAAGCGCGCGCAGGCGGCCUGAUAAGUUGGAUGUGAAAUCCUAUGGCUUAACCAUAGAACUGCAUCCAAAACUGUUGGGCUAGAGUACUGAAGGGGAAGAUGGAAUUAGUGGUGUAGGGGUAAAAUCCGUAGAUAUUGGAAGGAAUACCAGAAGCGAAGGCGACUGACUGGGACAUUACUGACGCUGAGGCUCGAAAGCGUGGGGAGCAAACAGGAUUAGAUACCCUGGUAGUCCACGCCCUAAACGAUGAACACUAGUCGUUACAAAGCUAGUCUUUGUAGUGACGCAGCUAACGCAUUAAGUGUUCCGCCUGGGGAGUACGGUCGCAAGAUUAAAACUCAAAGGAAUAGACGGGGACCCGCACAAGCGGUGGAGCAUGUGGUUUAAUUCGAAGAUACGCGAAGAACCUUACCAAGGCUUGACAUGUUAGGAAUCUUGUAGAAAUAUGAGAGCGCUGGCUUGCCAGAACCUAAACACAGGUGCUGCAUGGCCGUCGUCAGCUCGUGUCGUGAGAUGUUGGGUUAAGUCCCGCAACGAGCGCAACCCUCGUCCUUAGUUGCCAGCGGUUCGGCCGGGAACUCUAAGGAGACUGCCUGCGUAAGCGGGAGGAAGGUGGGGAUGAUGUCAGGUCAUCACGGCCCUUAUGCCUUGGGCAACACACGUGCUACAAUGGGAUAUACAGAAAGCUGCAAUACCGCGAGGUGGAGCCAAUCUCUAAAAUAUCUCUCAGUUCGGAUUGUAGUCUGCAACUCGACUACAUGAAGUCGGAAUCGCUAGUAAUCGUAGAUCAGCUAUGCUACGGUGAAUACGUUCCCGGGUCUUGUACUCACCGCCCGUCACAC
Molecule: ribosomal RNA, 1381 nt
Filed under: uncultured prokaryote
Description: bacterial SSU rRNA
Rfam family: Bacterial small subunit ribosomal RNA
Source: RNAcentral